UCCACAUAAAUAAGGCCCAGCUCGAAUAAUUUUUUGUCUUUCAGUUAGUGACAUUUCCUCAAACACCUUGAAUGCAUAACAGUUUAUAUCCAUCCUAAUGGGGUAUGUAUACAUGAACCCCCAAUCAAUUAAACAGAAAUUGCUUAAAACGACUGGCAUUGCAUAAAACUACUACCACAAAAGUCCAUUAAAACCAUCAAUCUUGAGAUAUAAUUCAAACGAAUUCUAGCUAAGCACUUCUAAUACAAAAAAUAUUCAUAACGAAAAAGUAUGUUAAACAACCUAAGAAUCCAAAUUUGAGAAUAGAUUUAGACUACUUACAAAUAGAUAAGAAUCGAGAAUCUCAUGGGAAGAAGUUGUAUCAGAGGGACACCAUGAUUAUAGAAGAGGGAGAAACCACGAGUAUGAAAUUCAGUAAAUCAAACCACUAACACCCAAUUACAAUGAAAUUAAGACAUGUAUUCGGUAUAUACACAUUAAAAUUUCAAUAUAUAGAGAAAGUGGAAUACCUUGUGUACAUCAGCUGUUGGUUCUAUAACAAUUUAACGAUUUGGAGGGGAUUUUUGUCAUUAAUCGCCAUUUCUCGCUGUGCUUUGUUUUUGUUUCCACCUCAGAGAUUGAUUGAUUUGGGGGAGAUUUUGGGUCUAGUGAUAGGGGAGAGAAGAUUUUGGAAAUUUGGUGUAGAAAAAAAUUGAAAAGCCCUCCUAGCUGCUUGCUGAAUGCUGCUUG
RNAcentral lists this long non-coding RNA (729 nucleotides) under Panax ginseng (ginseng). RNAcentral's name for it is "long non-coding RNA (PGIN_LNC008766)". The record is from RNAcentral. Lineage: Eukaryota; Viridiplantae; Streptophyta; Magnoliopsida; Apiales; Araliaceae.